AUACAGCAGCACAUUGAAGUGCAUUCGGCAUUUAAGUUAAAGUAUGGCGUUCAAAAAUAAGUCGGUUAUUAUGUUCUUUUUCGUCAUACUUUUGGUCAACAACCCUGGACUUCUCCCAGUGGUAGGGGGAGAUUCUCGAUGCUGGAAUCUGAAUGGUAGAUGUCAAUAUAAAUCGGAACCUUGUGCAAAAUAUAAACCGGGAUUAUGUGGUGGCCCAACCAAUAGACAAUGUUGUGUUAUCGGAGCUGAUGUACAAUGCUGGAGAAAAGGUGGUUGGUGCCGAAAUUAUUCCCGUUCCUCUAAAUGUAGAUUUCUAAAAGGUCUAUGUGGAGGGGGUCGGUCACGCCAAUGUUGUGUACCUAAGUAAUCUUGGAAAUAAAAUUAUAAACAACUUGA
Molecule: long non-coding RNA, 396 nt
Organism: Saccostrea cuccullata (small rock oyster)
Lineage: Eukaryota; Metazoa; Mollusca; Bivalvia; Ostreida; Ostreidae
Exons: 3
Source: RefSeq, a predicted model, not a curated record